AUACGAAAGGUGCAAGCGUUGUUCGGAUUUACUGGGCGUAAAGAGAGUGUAGGUUGUUUAUUAAGUCGGAUGUGAAAUCCCGGGGCUCAACCUCGGAACUGCAUUCGAUACUGGUAGACUAGAGUUCGGGAGGGGUAAGCGGAAUUCCGUGUGUAGCAGUGAAAUGCGUAGAUAUACGGAGGAACACCUGAGGCGAAGGCGGCUUACUGGACCGAUACUGACACUGAGACUCGAAAGCGUGGGUAGCAAACAGGAUUAGAUACCCUAGUAGUCC
This 274-nucleotide ribosomal RNA is filed under the name uncultured bacterium. Its description in RNAcentral is "partial 16S ribosomal RNA". It matches the Rfam family "Bacterial small subunit ribosomal RNA", at positions 523 to 796 of the family's 1533-position model. The record is from RNAcentral.